CGGCCCCCGAAUUACUUGGGUCAAGUCCAGGGCUGUCAUGGAAUCCAUGAACUCCUGCGCCCCAUCAGAGUGCUAAGUUUAAGUGUUGCUUUUUAAUUAAGCUUGAAGCACUACACUGUCCAAUUUCACAUAGUAAAAUUUUCUAUAUAAAGUAAAUAUAGAAUCACAUAUAUAAAUUGAACAAACAAAUACAACUCCAUGAUAUAAGAAGAGAAAAAGCAAGUUAGCUAAAAAGAGGACAUAUUAAAAGGGGACACAAACUAUUAUUCUGCAAAGCUUUUGACUAGCUCCCAUAAACCCUUAGAAAUUUAGCCAAUGGUUGGGGAUUAUGAAAUUUGGCUCACAAAAUGUAUUUUGCCACGUUUUUGCGAUUGACCACUUUGUUGCAUUGUAAGUACUAAUGUAUUUCCGUUUAAGACAAUCUGAGAUUACAUUCAUGUUUUCUUUCAUCAGGCAGCAAUACGGAAAGAAUUGAAUGAAUUCAAAAGCACAGAAAUGGAAGUACAUGAAGAAAGUAGACAGUUUACAAGGUUUCAUCGUCCUUAAGUGUUGAAAAUAUUCUGCUGUUGAGCACAACUAUCUUUCCUGAGGAAAGUCCUCCAUCUUGAAGCCCAGAGUACAUCACAACUGAAAUGUCUGCAGCACCUUAAAACUUGAGGUUACUCUAUGUUGUGGGUCCUCAUAUUUAACAAAGAGAGACAACUAGAAGAGAUACAGAAAAGAAUACAAAAUGGCCAUGUAAUAUGAAUGUUUAGUAUUUUGUUUUGAAUAGAAAAUCUUACUGUUCUUUCCUUAUCAACAGUUAACUGGGGUGAACAGAAAAUGACUAUUCAUAGGAAAGAAGCACAAUCCAUUUUCAAAUAGAAUAGGAAUAGACAUAGCUGAACUAUUAUUUAUGGGCCAACUAAUAGAAUACAUUUUUUUCCCUUCGUGGAAGUAAGUUUAUACUGUAUUAAGAGACUCGAUUACUACAGCAACAUGAAAAACCAGGAAUGUGAACAAUUCUCUUUCUGUCUUCCAGAAUGCCUUUUUGGGAGAAUUGCCAGCUCUACUUCUCAUAAAUAAUAGAGGAAUUUGAUGUAAUAUGUGAAUUUGGAAGCAAUUAGUACAAUUCACAGUUAUGUUUAUGAUUGUAUGGUUAUGAUCUCUAAAAUGUCCAGUGGGGGUUGCAACUAGAUUAUGAGUUGUACAACAUUAAAAUUGCUAAAUGUAUCUUUAUUAUUUAGAACUGCAACACAAAUUCCUUUUUAAAAAAAAAUUGAUAAAUUUAACAGAACCACCAAGGGUUCUCUGUAAUCAUGAAUAAAUUGAAAAAUAUGUUUAGAAAAAAAAAUGGGAGGCAAUAAGAAUGCUGUGAAAAGAAUCGAUAAGAAUCUUGCUUGAUCAGACAAUAGUGAUAAUCAGAUUUUCAAGCCAAACUCAAAAGUCAACAAAGAUGAAAUACACAUGGACACUUUCCCCCCUCCCCCCUCCGUUUUGAUAGUUGAGCUAUAUUUAAUUGGUCCUUAAAUCAAUAAGAACAAUGUAAGAUUAAAAGGAUGAUUUAUAUUGACAUCAGGAUUUAUUUCUAUUAGAAUAGGAAAGGUCAUAGCAGGAGUUUUGGGGGAGGGGAAGGGGACUGGCAAAUCACAUAGAAUAAAUUAGCAUUACAUUGCUAUGUUUGGGACUACAGUAAAUCUUCAUUGUAACAAACUAAUGGGAUAGAAGAGGGAGUCCUUCACACUGAAAUGGUUGUUCAAAGGCACAUGGGAGUUUAUGCACAAGUAAAAAUGACAAUAAAGAUAUAUAUAAGUGGAUUUUUGUUGAAUCUGAACCAUAUCCAAUUAGUUUGAAGUUUUACUGCAUGUACAAAUAAAACUCUUACAGACACAAAUCUUCCCUGCUUGAGCACACCUGCACAUGGAUGGAUUCCUACCAUAACAGUGCUUUGUUUUUCUUUCUUUUGCUUCUUUGACAUCACACCAGUCAGCCUGGGGAAUGGGAGCCUUGCCCACAUUUAUUUUUGUUCAAUCUACCCUUCCACUGAGGAGAAGAGGAAUAAUAGGGAUCUCCAAAAAUAAUAGUUCUUCUGUUCCCCAAAGAAUCUGUUGCACUGAACAUCUCCACGCUAAGGAAGCAAAGGGUCAGAGCAGAAUACUAUUAUAUGACAGAAAGAUCCCUCAUCAGAGUCAAGGAACACACAUACACACACACUCAAACUCUUAUUGACUUAGAAUUUGAAUUAGGUUGACUAAAAGUAUUCAGUGUUGCAGUUUAGCAGCAUUUGGAAUGAUUCAGGUUUUGUCCUUUGCCUUAGAAAGCUGAUGGCACACUUUAAUGGGAAAGGGACUUGAUGCUGUAGACAUCUAUUAAAUCCUCCUUUAGGACCAUGAGAAAACUACCAAAAGGGACUUUAAACUUACAGCCUUUGUUGUGUGUGGUUAUGUGGAGCAAAUGGUCGGUCUACUUUUAUAUUACCUUGUAACUGUAUCUAUGAAUAUCCAAUUAGUAUAACAGUAAAAGGUGGAGUGCUUUAUUAUGUUGGUCCUAAAUAUGGUGGCUUAUUAUAAGCCAAUGACAUUGUUUACACUAAAAAUUGUCUCAUAUUAGCACUUAUUUAUCCUUUUAAUGUACACGGUAAAGCUUAAGGACCUGAAAUACACAAGGGCAGUAUUACAAUAUAUGUGUAUUAUUUAUCCUUUUUAAAGUCUGUACAUACUACCAUUUAUUUUUGUCCAUGUGUUCUCUUUAGUUCCUAAUGAUAAAAGAUAUGUAUUUUUUUUCAGCAAUAAAUGAUCUCUGUCAUGA
Non-coding RNA from Thamnophis sirtalis, 2787 nucleotides. Lineage: Eukaryota; Metazoa; Chordata; Lepidosauria; Squamata; Natricidae. The record is from RefSeq and is a predicted model, not a curated record.